Molecule: non-coding RNA, 122 nt
Organism: Picea glauca (white spruce)
Lineage: Eukaryota; Viridiplantae; Streptophyta; Pinopsida; Pinales; Pinaceae
Source: Rfam
AUGUAAUGUAAUUCCUACAAAAUUAAUGCAGCGUAUCCCAUUAGAACUCUGUAUUUAAGCGUGCUUGGGCUAGACUAGUACUGAGAUGGGUGACCUCCCCGAAAUUCCUAGUGUUUUACUUC